AGAGGGAUGGCUGGGUCAAAUGGUGAUUUUGAUCCAAGUUUUCUAAGGAAUCUCCAUACCGCUUUCCAGAUUAGUUGCACCAAUUUGCAUUCCCAGCAGCAAU
This 103-nucleotide microRNA precursor is filed under the name Marmota monax (woodchuck). Lineage: Eukaryota; Metazoa; Chordata; Mammalia; Rodentia; Sciuridae. The record is from RNAcentral.